GUGCUUCCAUUCUCACGCAGUGCCUGUGUACGCGUGCAUCACACAGCCACUCGCAUAGCAUCGGCCUCCUCUGUCUCUCUCUCUGCCCUCUACCCCUCCACCACACACAAAAAAAAAAAACUGAUCCCUCUUCACAACUCUCCUAGGCUUUUCGUUGCACUUUUCGUGGGCGCACACGCGUGCGAACGGUGGCGCUCGCGUUUUAUUGCCCCCUGCUGUACUUGGAACCGAGCUAAGCUGAGCUGAGCUGAACUUUGUGUGUAUGCAUACGCGCAGGCGUCUUUUUUGUGGAUGACUUUCUGUUUGUUGUUGUUUUGCCCUAUAGCUCCUUCUGCGUGUCCUAAUCAUCUAUCACGGGGGGUUCUCCUUCGAUGCGGUCUUCUCCCCCUCCCUCUCUCUUUACAUACCCUAUAGCCCUCCGUGACGAAGUAGAACGGCACUCUUUGCAUCCCGCCUUUUUGUUUUGUUUUCUGUUUGCCGGUGCGUGCCCUUGGUGCCAAGUCAGGCUGCCUUUCUGUUUGCGUGAGUGCGUGUUUCUGCGCGCGUGUGCCUCUGUUGCCUGCGGUGCUGCUGCUCGGGCGCAGCUCCCCAUCCCUCAUUUACACGGCACCCAGCAUCCCUCUCUGCCCUGUUUCUCUCUCUCGCUUGGAAAUCGAUACCCACACCAGCACGUGCACUUCAGCUGCAGCUCACGUUGGGCGUGCAGGUAUAUGUGGCGACAAGGCACUGAAAAGCGAAGCGCAAGGCUUAUCUUCUCCAUUUUUGUUCCUUUUCCUGCUCGCCAGCUCUACGAAAUUGGUCCCGCCGGUAUUCUGCCGCGCCUGUGCAGGCGAGGUUAACCAGCGCAGACACACUCGCACGCAGGCAGCAGCCGUGUACCGUUAAGAUCUCCUCGCUCACUGUUCGCUCUGGCGUUUUGUUGUUGUUCGUUCGUUACGUAAAAAGCGUAUCGAGUGCUCGAGUGAUCGCGUAUGCGAAAUUUUUUUUUUGGUGCUUGGCAUUUUGUGCGCGUGCGAUUCUUUCACUGUGGUUAGCGCGCGGCACAGACUUCGAAGGAAAUGAGCUUCCCACCACCUCGUCUAGCGCUUCCAGAGGAGUGCAAGCAGGUCGUGUUGGUCGCUCCCAUCGAUGGCCUCACUGCGGCAUGUGCUUGCGCGAUCGCCACAUCCCCGCUCGUGCCGCUGAACUGCCGCGUGCUGGUCGACGGCAUCACAGUGAAGAGCAGCAGCCCAUCCUCCGGCAACGAUAGCCUCCACACAGCGCGCAGCUCCGCCGAAACCGCUGCCACCACGAGAGACUUCAUGAGCACCGUGCAGCGAGUGGAGGCAAAACUGCGUGCAAGCCGCGCCACACGCCGCGACAUUUCUGUGACACACAUGACGCAGUUCUACUAUGGUGGGGUGUCACCCAAGGCGGAGGAGAUCGGGCCGAUGCUGCAUCGAAUUCAUCUACUCGGCAGCGGCGCACUUGGCGAGACGAGCUUCACGGCAUCCUCAACAGACGUCUCUUCUGGGUCUGGCGGGAGCUGUGGUGUACCUCGUGUUGCGGAUUCUCUGUUUGUGCUGGUGCUGAGUGCGCAGUCGCUGAGCCCAGACACGGAAAGCGGGCUCAAGGCGUACGAUAUCCUUCUGCGUCGUCUUUGGAGUGCUGCCGGCGCUUCGCAAGCCUCCGAAACCGCUUCUCAACAGACGCGGGUGCGCGGCAGUCUUAUCAUUCUCGCCGACGACGUCUAUCGCACGGCUGCGUGUGCAAUGCUGUCGAGCAUCGCGAAGGAGGUCGCCACGGCGGUAGACUGGGUGGUGCUCCUCACCUACUCAUACGCUAUGGACCCGCCGGCGCUGGAGUUCGGUGCGACGGAGGUCGCCGUUCAAGCCGCGUCGGGUAUUUCACACGGCGGCACGCUUCCCGUGCUGUGCGCCGCCAACGCCCUCGGCGUGCUCCGGCACUUCCCUGUCAGCCGAAGUGAGCCAGCCACUAUUACGCCCGUCGACGUCGCUCUGAAUGCCGCCUUCUUAGGAUACAUAUGGCUGUGCCACGGCGAGUUGCCAGAGUGUGUGGAGUGUGCCGCGGAGAUGCAGUACUGUGGCUCUUCGCCUGCGUCCUCGCACGCCGCCGCUGCUGCCGAGGCGGCGACGGCAAUGCCAGCGCCGCCGGCGCAGUGUGUCACGCGACACCGUAUGGGGUCCUUCGCAGUUGCCGAAUCACGCAAGCCUGGCGAGGCGUCACUGGUGUGGGGCAUGAUGGGCGAGUAUCUCAUGAGUUAUUACGGUCGAUUUGCCGACCAGAUUUCGGCGGCGUUUCCCGUGGCUGGCGUGCUGACGCCGGCGCCAAUUCUGCAGUUCCCGUUUAGCGUGGCGGAUUUGGUCAACUUCGGGCCGGAGCCGCGCGCGGCUGCCUACGCGCUGGAAGGAUGGCGCGCGUAUCAGCAGCGGCAGCGCAUCAUGGAAGAGAAGGUCGGUAAUGCCGAGGCGGCGCAGGCGCUAAAGGCUUAUGUGACACAAAUGGACAGCGUUGUCAGCUACAUCGAGCGUACUGCACGCGUGGCAGCGGUGCGAGACAAGACAUCUGCUGCCUUCGCCGCAUCGCGCAGGCGUACAGCGUCCUCGUCCUUCUCCGUUCCGCCAUACCGCCUCGAUGACUUCAACGUGGCGUUGUAUCACUCGCUACUGCGUCGCUUGACAUCGCACCACACACUCAUGCCCUAUCACCAGUGUGUGGCGCUCGUCGAGGUCGACUGGGAGGCAUAUGUGUCGGUGAUUGCACGGGCAGUGCUUGAGCACCUGGCACGGUGUGUUCUGCGGUCUUCAUCCGGCUUGCAGCACGUAGGGAGUCGCUCCCACGCUCCGCCGGUGGCCGACAGCGCGAGCGUCGUCAGCAUAGUACGCGAUCCUCCUGUCGUCAGCGCCCCAGCCGAGCCGGCGCCUGCGAGUGCAGCGGUGUCGUCGCCCACCAAGCCGGAGGCGGCUGCUUCUGCCGCAGAAGCCCCUUUCGCCUUUCCAGAGCCGCGGCGCUACUUCACCAACGACUUCGUGUACCGCGGUGCCGAGCGCAUCCCGCCGUUUCCGUCUCUUCUGCACAAGUACUUCGAUUGCUUCGUGUUUCUUCAUCGCGCCGGUAUGACGGCGAACGGCUGGCGCAGUGACAUGACACCUGGCAUGACGCCGCAGGUGCUCACCUCAAUCAUCGCGCAGCCGAACAUCCAGCGGCUCAUGACCGCUCUGGCUGCCAAAGACGGCGCAUCGAAAAAAGACGUGGAGGCCCGGGCAAAGAGUCUUCUGCUGCAGUGCGGCGAUGCACUGAAUCACGUUCACUGUCGCGCGCUGGGUCUCAUGAUUCGCGCAAUCUUUCGCAGUAUCUACGGCCGCGUCGACGUCAACAACGGCGCCUAUGAGCGCCUCCACCGUUACUUCGCCAUGCCGCGCGUAGCCGUCGUCUUCGUCCCGCUGCACCGCUCAUACAUUGACUUCCUCAUUCUCUCCGAGGUGCUGGCGCUCAUGCGGUUGCCGCUGCCGCACAUCGUGGCUGGAGAAAACUUUCUUAGCAUGGGCGUCCUCGCAACCCUGAUGCGGGGCAGCGGCGCCCUCUUUAUGCGCCGCUCCUUCCGCGACGACCCACUGUACGCUGCGCUGUUGAAGGAGUAUGUGCGGCACCUGGUGCGUGCGCGCCGCCCUCUCGAGUUCUUCAUUGAGGGAACACGGAGUCGCACUGGCAAGACGAUGGCGCCUAAGCUGGGCCUUCUCAAGUUUGUCUGCGACACCUUCUACGAGCCGGGUCAGCAGGAGCUUGACGACGUGCUCAUUAUGCCGGUCAGCCUCUCCUACGACGAGGUGCUCGAGGCCACCACACAUGCCAAGGAGCUCUUGGGCGUUCCGAAGCCGAAGGAGAACCCGACGAACAUGCUCAAAGCCCGAAGUCUACUCGAGCGCAUGCACGGCAACAUCAACAUCCACAUUGGCGAGCCCGUGUCGCUGCGCUCCCUCAAGGAGCACCCGCAGCAGUGCCCGCUGCCGCUCCAGCCUAAGGGCGAGCAACUCCGAGAUCUGGCUGCGCCAGCCGCCGCAACCGCGUCGGUGUGCAAGACAAUCGAUACCACGCCUUCCAUUGCCAAAGGCAGCUCCAUCACCCCGAUCCCUCUUCUCGCCACCGUCGCGUGGCACCUGGUGUACAAACUACAGCGUAACACGGUCAUCACCCCGGCGUCGAUGGUGGCUGCUGUAGUCGAGUGUCUUGGCCCUUACUACUGCACAGCAACGACAACGUUGAAGGAGGGCAUUGACACCACCGCGGCAGCCGCCAUACCGUUAGAAAAGGUUCACCAGGGGGUCAAGUGGCUGCGUAGGCGCUUGCGCGAGCGCGGUGCUCAGCUUUCGGUGGAGGCCUCCGAGUUGAGCCCUGCCGGGGUCGUGACGCAGGCGCUGACCAACCUCUACCGCUACAUCCACAUCACGGACGAGAUGUCAGGCGUGACAUACCACCCCGACAGCGUGGUCACCAGGAUCGCAGUCAACAUCAGCACCAACCAGCUCAUCCACGUUUGUAUGGACGAGGCCCUCGUCGCCGUCGUCGCGCAGGCGUUCGGCUCUGCCACAACGCCGCACAGUCCGCCAUCAGGCGCCGACGGGGCGAUGCUGUGCGGGGUCCGCUCCGUGAAAGCGGACGUGCUGAGCAGCCAGACGCAGCUUUUGCAGCGGCUGCUGUCCGCUGAGUUCCCCAACUACGCCGAAGCAGCACCGAUGAGCUUCGCGUCGUGGCUGGAGUGCACUAUAAGCCAGCUUCAGGAGUGCGUAGAGGAGCACACCGUGUCCUCCCAGCUUUCUGGCGCCGACACGCACGGCGGUACUGUUGUGCACCUGCCCGUUACGCAGUACUACUACUUCCUCCUUCAACUCAUCUGCCCUCACGUGGAGGCGCUCUACACGGUGCUGGUGGCUGCGUCGGCACUGCUGGCGACGUACCCUGGUAAGCCACUCGGGGCUGCCGAAGUGGUCACGGCGACGCAGCGAGCGUGUGGCAUCCUGUAUGCGGAGCACAAGCUGCGCUAUGUAGUGGCGGCCAACAAGGAGACGCUGCAACACUACUACGAGAGCCUCAUCGCGCUCUCGCUCUUACAGAUAAAGCGCGUGCCCGUUACAACGGCGCCUGGCCAGUCGAAGGUAAGCAGAAGAGUCGUCGCGUACACGGUCGGGUUAUUAGGGCAAGAGGCAGCGCUGGCUCGCCUCAAGGUGCUGUCGACACAGAUAAAGACUCUGUGGUGGCACCCCUCUGCAGCGGAAGGGGUGACGAUCAACAAGGCAGCCAUUCAAGAGCGUGUGCUGGCAGUGUACCGUGAGCUAACACAGCCGUCCAAGAUGUGAGACACUCGUGUAGAUCUGUGUCGCGCUUAGUGAGAAGGGAAGGGAAGUGACAGCUCUCAUGGCAGUGAAGAGGAGGGAAGGUGCAGCAUGGAGUAACAGCAGUGUCGCAGGGGGUGGGGGGGAGGGGGCGCGCCGGGACGCACAUGGCGUGUCUAAUCAAGCUCCCUCCCACCACAGCGCAACAAAUCACGCGCACCAGCUCUUCUAGUUGCUCCUCUCCCUGUUUGACUGAGCAGUUUCGAUGGUUGCCUGCCAACUUAUGUGGGUCUGGAUACCUCUCACUCGCUCUGAUCCUUAUGUUUUGUCUUCGUCACAUGCUUCCCUGUGAUCUGCCAUCUUUUCUUCUCGCUUCAUGAAGGCGACGUUGGUACGCCGGCCGACUCUCCCCUCCCUGUCCGUCUACCUUUUACUGUACACUCAUCGCACCCGUGCGCGCACAAAGACGUGUCGAGAGAGAAAACUUGGCAGCUCGCUCGGUUUUACUCCUAUUUCGCAUCUGCCGCGUCUCUCCUCCUCUUUCUCUCAUCGCCGUGGUGCCGAUGAACUCGCCUCCCUCUUCCCUUUUUCUUUUGUGGUGCCCUUCGCCUCCUGUGCACAUCAGGCAGUGGAUGACCCUAUCUGUUGAUCCGCUGGCGAUCCAUGCUGAUCUUAACGGGAACU
Molecule: unclassified non-coding RNA, 6014 nt
Filed under: Leishmania donovani
Lineage: Eukaryota; Euglenozoa; Kinetoplastea; Trypanosomatida; Trypanosomatidae
Description: gene:LdHU3.34.1880(CDS-product:dihydroxyacetoneph osphate_acyltransferase)
Source: RNAcentral